GAAUAUUGCAAAAUGGGCGAAAGCCCGAUGCAGCAACGCCGCGUGGGCGAUGAAGGCCUUCGGGUCGUAAAGCCCUUUUUGAGGGGAUGAGGAAGGACAGUACCCUCAGAAUAAGCCUCGGCUAACUACGUGCCAGCAGCCGCGGUAAAACGUAGGAGGCGAGCGUUAUCCGGAUUUACUGGGCGUAAAGCGCGUGCAGGCGGAUUGGAGAGUUGGAUGUGAAAGCUCCCGGCUUAACUGGGAGAGGUCGUUCAAUACUUCCAGUCUUGAGUGCAGUAGAGGGAAGUGGAAUUCCG
Molecule: ribosomal RNA, 296 nt
Filed under: uncultured bacterium
Lineage: Bacteria
Description: partial 16S ribosomal RNA
Rfam family: Bacterial small subunit ribosomal RNA
Source: RNAcentral